GAUGAACGCCGGCGGUGUGCCUAAUACAUGCAAGUCGUACGCACUGGCCCAACUGAUUGAUGGUGCUUGCACCUGAUUGACGAUGGAUCACCAGUGAGUGGCGGACGGGUGAGUAACACGUAGGUAACCUGCCCCGGAGCGGGGGAUAACAUUUGGAAACAGAUGCUAAUACCGGAUAACAACACUAGACGCAUGUCUAGAGUUUGAAAGAUGGUUCUGCUAUCACUCUUGGAUGGACCUGCGGUGCAUUAGCUAGUUGGUAAGGUAACGGCUUACCAAGGCAAUGAUGCAUAGCCGAGUUGAGAGACUGAUCGGCCACAUUGGGACUGAGACACGGCCCAA
RNAcentral lists this ribosomal RNA (342 nucleotides) under uncultured bacterium. Its description in RNAcentral is "bacterial SSU rRNA". It matches the Rfam family "Bacterial small subunit ribosomal RNA", at positions 28 to 334 of the family's 1533-position model. The record is from RNAcentral.